UCUCUCCUCCAAUCUGUUUCUCCGGGCACCGACCCAGAGUCCGGCGAAGGGACCACCGCGUCGGCCACCGGUCACCGGUCACCGGUGAAGGCACCGCCAUAUGCGGUGGCCAAAAAAAAGAAAACCUCGGAUCCGGUCUUUUCAAACCCCCUAAACCCAGAUCUCAGUCCAAAAUCCCCAAAAUAUUAGCAAAAACCCCCCAAAAAAGAAAAAAACAAAGAAACCUUUCGGUUUCCUGCCACCUAUCCUAGGAGGUGACUAAUUCGGCCGUCCUGGCGGCGUUACAGAAUCGAGCAAAGGUGAAGGCGUGCGCGCGGAGACUUGGCUCGUGCGAAGGGGCUUGGCUACGGCGCUGAUGUUUACCCUAGAAACCCUAGGGAUUUUUGAAACUCAUUUGGGCCGCGUUGUAAUUGGACCAUUGUUUUUCAAAUGGGUCUGGGGUUUGUAAUUUGGGCCUAUUUUAUUGUAAAUGGACUGUUACAUUUGGACCCUUUUUUAUUAUUUGGUUUUAAUAGACCCGGGGCAAAAUCGGGAUUACAAUUUCAA
Gossypium raimondii (Peruvian cotton) is the source of this 546-nucleotide long non-coding RNA. RefSeq lists it as uncharacterized. The transcript has 2 exons. Lineage: Eukaryota; Viridiplantae; Streptophyta; Magnoliopsida; Malvales; Malvaceae. The record is from RefSeq and is a predicted model, not a curated record.